AUUCAGCUGACGAGUCCCAAUUAGGAUGGAACGCGCGUCCUGAAU
Schistosoma curassoni is the source of this 45-nucleotide non-coding RNA. Lineage: Eukaryota; Metazoa; Platyhelminthes; Trematoda; Strigeidida; Schistosomatidae. The record is from Rfam.